AGUGAACGCUGGCGGCAGGCCUAACACAUGCAAGUCGAACGGUAACAGGAAGAAGCUUGCUUCUUUGCUGACGAGUGGCGGACGGGUGAGUAAUGUCUGGGAAACUGCCCGAUGGAGGGGGAUAACUACUGGAAACGGUAGCUAAUACCGCAUAACGUCGCAAGACCAAAGAGGGGGACCUUUGGGCCCCUUGCCAUCGGAUGUGCCCAGAUGGGAUUAGCUAGUAGGGGGGGUAACGGCUCACCUAGGCGACGAUCCCUAGCUGGUCUGAGAGGAUGACCAGCCACACUGGAACUGAGACACGGUCCAGACUCCUACGGGAGGCAGCAGUGGGGAAUAUUGCACAAUGGGCGCAAGCCUGAUGCAGCCAUGCCGCGUGUAUGAAGAAGGCCUUCGGGUUGUAAAGUACUUUCAGCGGGGAGGAAGGGAGUAAAGUUAAUACCUUGGCUCAUUGACGUUACCCGCAGAAGAAGCACCGGCUAACUCCGUG
This 490-nucleotide ribosomal RNA is filed under the name uncultured bacterium. RNAcentral describes it as "partial 16S ribosomal RNA". It matches the Rfam family "Bacterial small subunit ribosomal RNA", at positions 29 to 507 of the family's 1533-position model. The record is from RNAcentral.